GUGGAUAACCUACCCUUAGGACCGGAAUAACCCCGGGAAACUGGGGAUAAUACCGGAUAAGCCAUAGACGCUGGAAUGCCCUAUGGUUCAAAGCUCCGGCGCCUAAGGAUGGAUCUGCGGUCUAUCAGGUUGUAGUGGGUGUAACGUACCUACUAGCCGACGACGGAUACGGGUUGUGAGAGCAAGAGCCCGGAGAUGGAUUCUGAGACACGAAUCCAGGCCCUACGGGGUGCAGCAGGCGCGAACACUUUACAAUGCGGGAAACCGCGAUAAGGGAACCCCGAGUGCCAGCAUCAAAUGUUGGCUGUCCGGAUGAUUAAAAAUCAUUUGUUAGCAAGGGCCGGGCAAGACCGGUGCCAGCCGCCGCGGUAACACCGGCGGCCCGAGUGGUAGCCGUUUUUAUUGGGUCUAAAGGGUCCGUAGCCGGCUUGAUAAGUCCUUUGGGAAAUCUGGCAGCUUAACUGUCAGGCUUCUAAGGGAUACUGUCAGGCUUGGGACCGGAAGAGGUAAGGGGUACUCCAGGGGUAGGAGUGAAAUCUUGUAAUCCCUGGGGGACCAUCUGUGGCGAAGGCGCCUUACCAGAACGGGUCCGACGGUGAGGGACGAAAGCUAGGGGAGCAAACCGGAUUAGAUACCCGGGUAGUCCUAGCUGUAAACGAUGCUCGCUAGGUGUCAGACACGGUGCGACCGUGUUUGGUGCCGCAGGGAAGCCGUUAAGCGAGCCACCUGGGAAGUACGGUCGCAAGGCUGAAACUUAAAGGAAUUGGCGGGGGAGCACUACAACGGGUGGAGCCUGCGGUUUAAUUGGAUUCAACGCCGGAAAACUCACCGGGUGCGACAGCAAUAUGUAGGUCAGGCUGAAGGUCUUACCUGAAUCGCUGAGAGGAGGUGCAUGGCCGUCGUCAGUUCGUACUGUGAAGCAUCCUGUUAAGUCAGGCAACGAGCGAGACCCGCGCCCACAGUUGCCAGCAUGUUCUCCGGAACGAUGGGUACACUGUGGGGACCGCCGCUGCUAAAGCGGAGGAAGGAACGGGCUACGGUAGGUCAGUAUGCCCCGAAUCUCCCGGGCUACACGCGGGCUACAAUGGUUGGGACAAUGGGCACCUACCCUG
This 1112-nucleotide ribosomal RNA is filed under the name uncultured archaeon. RNAcentral's name for it is "bacterial SSU rRNA". It matches the Rfam family "Archaeal small subunit ribosomal RNA", at positions 100 to 1213 of the family's 1478-position model. The record is from RNAcentral.